GAGCUUGCUCCUUUGACGUUAGCGGCGGACGGGUGAGUAACACGUGGGUAACCUACCUAUAAGACUGGAAUAACUCCGGGAAACCGGGGCUAAUGCCGGAUAACAUGUUGAACCGCAUGGUUCAACAGUGAAAGACGGUCUUGCUGUCACUUAUAGAUGGACCCGCGCCGUAUUAGCUAGUUGGUAAGGUAACGGCUUACCAAGGCGACGAUACGUAGCCGACCUGAGAGGGUGAUCGGCCACACUGGAACUGAGACACGGUCCAGACUCCUACGGGAGGCAGCAGUAGGGAAUCUUCCGCAAUGGGCGAAAGCCUGACGGAGCAACGCCGCGUGAGUGAUGAAGGUCUUCGGAUCGUAAAGCUCUGUUGUUAGGGAAGAACAUAUGUGUAAGUAACUGUGCACAUCUUGACGGUACCUAACCAGAAAGCCACGGCUAACUACGUGCCAGCAGCCGCGGUAAUACGUAGGUGGCAAGCGUUAUCCGGAAUUAUUGGGCGUAAAGCGCGCGUAGGCGGUUUUUUAAGUCUGAUGUGAAAGCCCACGGCUCAACCGUGGAGGGUCAUUGGAAACUGGAAAACUUGAGUGCAGAAGAGGNAAAGUGGNAAUUCCAUGUGUAGCGGUGAAAAUGCGCAGAGAUAUGGAGGAACACCAGUGGCGAAGGCGGCUUUCUGGUCUGUAACUGACGCUGAGGUGCGAAAGCGUGGGGAUCAAACAGGAUUAGAUACCCUGGUAGUCCACGCCGUAAACGAUGAGUGCUAAGUGUUAGGGGGUUUCCGCCCCUUAGUGCUGCAGCUAACGCAUUAAGCACUCCGCCUGGGGAGUACGGUCGCAAGACUGAAACUCAAAGGAAUUGACGGGGACCCGCACAAGCGGUGGAGCAUGUGGUUUAAUUCGAAGCAACGCGAAGAACCUUACCAAAUCUUGACAUCUUUUGACCGCUCUAGAGAUAGAGUUUUCCUCUUCGGAGGACAAAAUGACAGGUGGUGCAUGGUUGUCGUCAGCUCGUGUCGUGAGAUGUUGGGUUAAGUCCCGCAACGAGCGCAACCCUUAAGCUUAGUUGCCAUCAUUAAGUUGGGCACUCUAAGUUGACUGCCGGUGACAAACCGGAGGAAGGUGGGGAUGACGUCAAAUCAUCAUGCCCCUUAUGAUUUGGGCUACACACGUGCUACAAUGGACAAUACAAAGGGCAGCGAAACCGCGAGGUCAAGCAAAUCCCAUAAAGUUGUUCUCAGUUCGGAUUGUAGUCUGCAACUCGACUACAUGAAGCUGGAAUCGCUAGUAAUCGUAGAUCAGCAUGCUACGGUGAAUACGUUCCCGGGUCUUGUACACACCGCNCGUCACACCACGAGAGUUUGUAACACCCGAAGCCGGUGGAGU
This 1379-nucleotide ribosomal RNA is filed under the name Staphylococcus agnetis. RNAcentral describes it as "bacterial SSU rRNA". It matches the Rfam family "Bacterial small subunit ribosomal RNA", at positions 76 to 1436 of the family's 1533-position model. The record is from RNAcentral. Lineage: Bacteria; Bacillati; Bacillota; Bacilli; Caryophanales; Staphylococcaceae.